Molecule: non-coding RNA, 208 nt
Organism: Lactuca sativa (garden lettuce)
Lineage: Eukaryota; Viridiplantae; Streptophyta; Magnoliopsida; Asterales; Asteraceae
Source: RefSeq, a predicted model, not a curated record
AGGUUUAUCUUGAAGCAAAAUUGUUAGAUUUUUGCCCCAGAAGGAAAUUUAUAAGCCGCAGCUGCAGUUCAAUUAUUUGUCACGAUCAACAACCGAUUUCUUGAGAUUACAUGAAAUUGAAACUCAUUUUCAGAUUAGUAUUGAACAUCGAUUGAAAGAGAAGAAAAAAAAAAUAGAAAAUGAGAUGAAGAACUCAAGAACAACUAAC